CCUUGAAAUACCACCCUUUAAUGUUUGAUGUUCUAACGUUGACCCGUGAUCCGGGUUGCGGACAGUGUCUGGUGGGUAGUUUGACUGGGGCGGUCUCCUCCUAAAGAGUAACGGAGGAGCACGAAGGUUGGCUAAUCCUGGUCGGACAUCAGGAGGUUAGUGCAAUGGCAUAAGCCAGCUUGACUGCGAGCGUGACGGCGCGAGCAGGUGCGAAAGCAGGUCAUAGUGAUCCGGUGGUUCUGAAUGGAAGGGCCAUCGCUCAACGGAUAAAAGGUACUCCGGGGAUAACAGGCUGAUACCGCCCAAGAGUUCAUAUCGACGGCGGUGUUUGGCACCUCGAUGUCGGCUCAUCACAUCCUGGGGCUGAAGUAGGUCCCAAGGGUAUGGCUGUUCGCCAUUUAAAGUGGUACGCGAGCUGGGUUUAGAACGUCGUGAGACAGUUCGGUCCCUA
This 451-nucleotide ribosomal RNA is filed under the name Escherichia coli. RNAcentral describes it as "partial 23S ribosomal RNA". It matches the Rfam family "Bacterial large subunit ribosomal RNA", at positions 2190 to 2640 of the family's 2925-position model. The record is from RNAcentral. Lineage: Bacteria; Pseudomonadati; Pseudomonadota; Gammaproteobacteria; Enterobacterales; Enterobacteriaceae. RNAcentral also lists the same sequence under 4 other names.